UGGAGUAUAACAUAAUAUUAAAUGUUUUUCAUUUACACUGAAAAUAUGACUAUAAGAAGUCUGCUCUAA
RNAcentral lists this transfer RNA (69 nucleotides) under Enoplochiton echinatus. Its description in RNAcentral is "tRNA-Val". The record is from RNAcentral. Lineage: Eukaryota; Metazoa; Mollusca; Polyplacophora; Chitonida; Chitonidae.